GACAGGGGGUGCUAGCGUUGCUCGGAAUCACUGGGCGUAAAGCGCACGUAGGCGGUCCCGUAAGUCGGGUGUGAAAGCCCUCAGCCUAACUGAGGAACUGCGCCCGAUACUGCGGGGCUUGAGGAUGGGAGGGGAGAGUGGAAUUCCUGGUGGAGCGGUGAAAUGCGUAGAUAUCAGGAGGAAUACCAGUGGCGAAGGCGACUCUCUGGUCCAUUCCUGACGCUGAGGUGCGAGAGCUAGGGGAGCAAACGGG
This 253-nucleotide ribosomal RNA is filed under the name uncultured bacterium. RNAcentral's name for it is "partial 16S ribosomal RNA". It matches the Rfam family "Bacterial small subunit ribosomal RNA", at positions 524 to 776 of the family's 1533-position model. The record is from RNAcentral.